RNAcentral lists this ribosomal RNA (253 nucleotides) under uncultured bacterium. Its description in RNAcentral is "partial 16S ribosomal RNA". It matches the Rfam family "Bacterial small subunit ribosomal RNA", at positions 524 to 776 of the family's 1533-position model. The record is from RNAcentral.
UACGGGGGGGGCAAGCGUUGUUCGGAAUUACUGGGCGUAAAGGGCUUGUAGGUGGCCAACUAAGUCAGACGUGAAAUCCCUCGGCUUAACCGGGGAACUGCGUCUGAUACUGGAUGGCUGGAGUGUGGGAGAGGGAUGCGGAAUUCCAGGUGUAGCGGUGAAAUGCGUAGAUAUCUGGAGGAACAUCCGUGGCGAAGGCGGCCACCUGGACCAGCACUGACACUGAGGCACGAAAGCGUGGGGAGCAAACAGG